Molecule: non-coding RNA, 715 nt
Organism: Carica papaya (papaya)
Lineage: Eukaryota; Viridiplantae; Streptophyta; Magnoliopsida; Brassicales; Caricaceae
Source: RefSeq, a predicted model, not a curated record
AGUGAUUAACUGUGCAUUUGUUGGAAUCUUUCUUCCUUUUGGUAGGCCGCUUCUCGGUAGUAUUGCAAACCCUUGCUUCCCAAGAAAGCAGUCAACAUAUUUUGGCCAUCUGUUUCUUGAUAAAUUUAAACAUCAAAAGCAACGUGAGAUGAAUGCAGCCGUGUCUACAUCACAUUGCUCUCAGCCUAACACCCUUGAGUAUGAUAUGGCAAUGGAAUGGUGCUUGCUACAAGAAAGAUUAGAUCGCACCUGGGGAAAGUUGUGCAAGCAACAAAUAGAGGAAUUAAGAAAACUCAGGACAGACCUCAAGUCCGGAUGAGUUACAGGUUCACGGCUUUGGUCAUCUUGUUGUUCGUUGUCAAGUUGCUUCAGGAAUAUUGAAAAUGAUGUUCAUUGGCUAUCACAAGUCAAACUGGUAGUUGGCUGCAGAGUGAUUAACUGGCAGAAGGUGGUGAGUGUGUGCGGAUACAUAUCGCUUUGUUGCUUGGAGACGGGGAGGAUUUUUGUCGAGCCCAUGCUCAAACGUUUUGCAGGCUUCUUUUGGAAGUUGAAAUCAACUUCAAGUCUCUUUUCUUCUCUGGAUAUGUACAUUUUAUCCUAGAAAAUUGUAAAUACUUAGGAGUUCUGGUGUUGGUAGUUGUAUUCCCCGUCCUGAAGAUAUUUUAAAAUCAUGUAGAAUCUUAGAUUUGUAUAUGUUGAUUUAGGUUUUCGCUCU